GUCUGUCUGUGUGAUGCUUUUGCCAGAACCAGGUCAAGAAUGCUCUUCAGAACUUCUGUUAAGUUAGUUAAUGAGUUGGCUGACUAGCUAACUGAAUGAUUCCACAGUCCAGCAGAGAUGGUCAGAGAGUCUGCCUGGAGAUCUCUGCAAGCAGGAGAGGGGAAGAUCCUGUUGAAGUGCUUUGUACUCAAUAGACUGCAUAGAGCUGAUGAACUAAAGAUUUUCACUGAGACUCAGGUAAUUCACUCAGACCCAGUGGAGAAGUUGAUUUAUCUCACCUGGCAAGCACAAGCCAAAGAGCUGAUGGAAAAGAGUGAGAUUUCUGACAAAGUUAAAAGAAGGAAGGUGAUUGAAAAUGUAUUAUCACCAGCUCUGAAGGUGGCCUUAGGAGCUGGUAGCAAGGCAACCACUGGAGAAUGCUUUGAGAUUUUAGAGACGGUAUAUAGAAUUGUCAUAAAUGCAUCUGAGCUUACGGCUCAAUUUUCUGAGUUGUACAAAACAUACUAGAGAACUACUGGCUGUGUACCUGAGUAGAUUACACACAUUAGCGCAAGAAGUUUUGGAGGCUGGUGAGGUGAGGCUUGUGAGGUAAAAGAUACCGAAUUGGACUCUUAUAUACAAGAUCAAUUUUUCUGUGGUCCUUAUUAAAUACUCUUUUCAAAAACAUUAAUGCUAGUGGCAACAAAGGUCUCUUACGCCACACUCUUUUUUGAGGUGAGAUCUUUUGAAAGGGAGAUCAACAAAAGAGAGAACAUCAGUAAGAAAUAGAAGAAGGAAGGCCAUUGAGUAGGAGUACUUUUCAAUUGCUAAGGGUAUCUGAAAAUACUUCCAGAGCCAGUGACGAAGCCACUGAAAUAGGUUGAAAGGAGAAAUACCUGCAAAUGGAGCAAUGAUUGGUGGGACUGCAGAUAAUCAAGGCAAGUUCUGAAACUUCUGCUCCAUAUAGUCUGUUCACUGCCCAAACAAGUCCAAAGAAUUUUAAUAAACAAGCAAUAUCAAAAUGUACCAAAAGACUUUGUGUUUUAAACUGUGAGCAAAUUUUCAAAAUGAUUGUGAGAAUUCUCCUAACCAACCAAUUAUAUCAGCAGCCAGAAAGAAAAGAAAUUAACAACUCUCAGAGCGAAGCUGUUAUUCAUUGGGUUCAGGAGACAGAUGCUACCCAAAUGGAUGUCAGUGAGGUCAUUCAGCCGUUAGUAGGACCUGUUUGUCAUGGUUAUGUUUACCUAGAUGGAGCAAAGAGUACCUGCUGUAAUAGAUACUGGUUCUCAAGUAACGUGUGUAUCUAAAACUUUCUAUUAUGAGCAUUUAUCUUAUCAAAAGUUAGUCUAUUGCCAAUAUACUUCAGAUAGAAUGAACUUGAGGACACGUGAUUCCUGGGAUAUAUAUCCUUGAAGAUAUGAUUCCCAAAGGUCAUCUGUGGGACUAACAGACACUAUGAGAUACUAGUCUUGGUUUGUCCAGACCACCAUAUGAAUCAGCAAGUGUCAGUGCUCAGAGGCACAAAUGAGCUGAAAUAUUCUGUAGAAGACUGUAAGAAGAAAUGGGGUCCUGAUUUCUUAAGUAGAAUUUCACUACCAAGUGAGUGGGCUGAAGCUUAGACAAUUUUUCUUCAGUCAUUGCAGUAAGAAGCUGAAGAAGGGGCUGAUGUGAUCCUGAGAAGAAGAAAUUCAAUGACAACUCCACCUGGCCAGAAUUCUGAAAUUUGCAGUGAACAAACUGGAGACUGCCGUAAUGCUAGAAGAUCCAGGUGUUGCAGUUGGACCUGGUGGGCUAGCAAUUCUGUCUCAAUUUGCUAAAGUCACUGGCUCCAGUACGAGAACAGGGGUACAAGUCAAAAACUUAUUGAAGAAGAAUGACUCACAUUCUCAUUGUGAAGGGGCAAGCAGUUGAAUGGAUAAAGCUGGUGCCAACCCAAGUUUCAGAAGUUGUGACUAAGAAAGAGACGGUUAUAUUGCCGCUUGACUUUGAAGGAUUUCCUCAGUGCAGUUGAGACGAAAAAGACUGCUAAGACUAUCAGUAAGGAAGCUUGUAAAGGGAAGACUGUUCAUAAUCUAGACUUUGUAGGAGUUUCAGGAGUGACACAUCAGACUGAGCUCACUAAUGUCACUUUUUAAAGGAAGAACUAGGAGGGUUUUGCUCUCAGAUUUUGAAAAUAUGCGUCAGCAUGUGUGUGAGUUGGUGCCACUUGGAGUCAUUGAGGAAAUGUAGUCCAUAUGCAUCACAUGUGGUGCUGGUGUGUAAGAAGAUGAGCCCUUAGAAUGGUGGUGGAUUAUAGAAAACUGAACAGUGUUAUCUGAAAGGACACUUAUUGGUUACCCAGGAUAGAAGAAACCUUUGCCUUGCUGGUAGGAUCUAAAUGGUUGUCUGUAUUGGAUCUAAAAGUGGAUACUAUCAAGUUCCAGUACAGUCCCGUGAUUGUCUGAAGAUGGUCUUCACUACACUGUUUGGUAAUUGGCUUUUCAAAAUAAUGCUGCAAGGCUUGACUCUAAUGCUCCAGCUAUCUUCCAGCAAAUGAUGGAAUGUGUUAUGGCUGGUAUGAAUAUCACAGAAGUUGUAGAAUUCUUGGAUGAUUCAAUCAUCUUUUCAGCCACCCUAGAAACACAUGAGGAGUGUCUCCUAGAAAUUUUGAAAAGACUUCAGAAAUACAGCUUAAAACUUGUGCUUUCAAAGUGUAUACUUCACUUCAGCCUUCAGUGAAAUACCUGGGUCACAGCACAUCUCAAGAUGGGAUUUGUCCAGAUAGAGAGAACUGAUACUAUCAUCAUUUGGCCUGUUCCAACUACCUUCAGAACUUGUAGAUUCUUGGGAUUUGCUGAUUACUACCUAAGAUUUGUAGAGAGAUACUCUGUUAUUGCAAAACCUUUGAAUUCUCUUCUUGCUGGUGGUCCUAAAGAGAGUACAUGGAAUGGAAAACAACCGCUUGAGAGCAGAUGGGGUGCAGUUUGCCAACAGGCCUUUGAAACCUUGAAACAAAAUUUCACUACUGCAUCAAACCUUGCUGAAAAUCCUCAAUGACUGAAUUCUGGGUCUGCAUGUCCUUUUCUAUAGAAGUUGUAUUUUAAGAACUAGGAGAAGGGUGCUGAAAUAAACUCUAGCCCACCCAAAGAUUACAUGUGCUCUAGUGGGCAUGGACUCUUCUACCCCAUCCCCUACAGCCUGUACUAGUCGUAGCUCUUCCCUACUCCUGGCUCCUUGUUCCAGUUCAUUCUCCCCACCUAGCAAGUCAGGCUCCACUCCUCCAGCCUCUCCUGCCAGUCUUCUUGUUCAGCAAGUUCUUGACUCCCAGUUCCACCCCUGUGUAGCUCCUCAUCCAGUCUGUCUCCCUGGCCUUCCUGCCCAGGUUCAUCAUCCUCAGUGCCUUCCAUUCCUCCCCCAGCAGUCUGAGUCCUCUUCCCCCACCUGCUGGCUCACUGUUUCCCUCACCAGCUCCCAGUCCCAGUCUCUCCUUCAACCCCAAAUCCCAGUUUCUUUUCCCACCCCUGCCAGCCUCCAAUCCCAGUCUCCCUUGCUACUCCCCUUGGAUUCUCUGCAAGUCUGGCUCUUGUCCCCUCCGCAUUUGAAUUAGGCACCUUUCUCCUCCACUCUGCCUGGAUCCAGCAAGGGAACACUGAGAGCACAGGAGAGAGAGCCUCCCUAUUCGUACUUCAGGUGCCCAGAGCUGGACCCAACACUGUUUGCAGCAGCCAUUGCAGAGAAAGUCCUGCUCAGCCCUGAGCUGAAGCUUGCCCAAUGCAGCCAGAAUCUUGGGAGGUAUUUAGCUGCUAAAAUCUUAGUCUCUACUGGCCAUGUGCAAAUUGCUUUGAAUCUCAAGACAGAGAGAGGAGCAGUGGGGUGAUGUGUCCAUGGUGACCCAUGUGGCUAAACAGAUGAGAUGGCCUGUUGCAUUUUGUACCACUUGAAACUUUUUAAAGAUGUGUAGCUUUGAGUUUAUUUCUGUGUAAUGUAUGGCUUUUGUGUCAGGUGGAAUCUGCUGUUUUUCUACUGAUUUCUAGUUUAGUGCUAUGGUUGAUGUUUGAUGACUUGUCAAGUUGCUUAGAGCCAGGCAUGGGAGAAUUUGGGUUUUUACAUAUAUAUAUUUUAAGUUCAAAACAAAUAAUUGAGACAAAGAAUAAUAAUGAGUAGAGAUGGGUCCAAACCAAAAUUGUAACACCCCUGAAAUUAGUUUUGGAUCUGAAUCGAGAUCUAUAACUGGCCUUAACAUUUUUGGGAAGCACGUGAAACUAUUAUUUUGCAACCUCCCACUAGCCUUCAUGAUUUCCCUGGAUCCACUACUCUGCACAGGGCUUGCCUGGAGACUUUGGGGAGGGGUAGUGAAAUGGCACACAGGGAUACACCCCAAAUGUAACUAACUCAUUUUAUAUAGUUUUAUUUUUCUUAUUUUUUCAGUCCAUUACUAAGAAGAACCUUAAGUGCUUCCCUGUAAACAAAUAAGUGGAAUUUUUUUAUUGCAUCUUUGGCAUCCCAUCUAAUAAGAUAAGUUGUUUUUACGUCUCUCUUUGGGGCAGUAUACCAUCACUGCCAAAAGCUAUCCACAAGCACUACAAAUGGGGAUGGAAACCAUAUAUAAACAUUUAAGUUUAACCUUUUUAUCUUACAGCGGUUUAUAAUAGCAACAAUGAACUUGACUCACUGCAUUUCCUGUGGGGAUAAAGUGACCUGCAGGGGUUAAUACCCCAAGGCAAAACCAUGGGCCAUCAUCUCACCCAACCAAUAAUUAACCUGAAGAAAUGCCUUGAGCUCCCAUCAUUAGCCCUUAAAAAGAGCCUUUAGAAUUCAAAAUUAGUUUGGAGUGGGACUUACCACCACCUGAGCUUCAUUCAUUGUAACUAACUUGUCUAUGCUCUUCAGGCUGGAUGCAUUUAAGUAUUGUAACUGUAUGUAACAAUUGAAUGAAUUACUUUGAGAUUAAAGGGCUGAACUGGAGAAACUGCAUACGGCUGGUUUUAAGGUGAGGCAUCUUCCAAUAUUAUUCUAACUGUAUUGUGAUGUAACUGCUGCAGCAAAUGGGGAAUCAAAUUAGUGCAUUAUUUGUCAUCAUAUGUAAAAUGUUUCCAUGUGCAGUGAAUGUUCUUAAACUUUUCAGUUGCCUCAUAUAAAAUUGUUAGGUUUUUGUUCGUUUAAUUUGUUACCAGUAGUGCCCAAAAUGGGGUAGGUUUUGGGCAAACAUAAAGGAAGCCAUGGUCCCCGCCCUCAAGAGCUCACGUUACCUAAGUAUUUGAGGUAUUUUCCUAUACGAAAUAUAGGUGACUACAAGGAACACUGCUAAUAACAUAUUCUGGUUUUCUAAAGCAAAAUUGGGAAGUUUAAGCACAACUGCUGUACAUCCCCCAAAACCAUUAUAUUUGCAUUCUGCAUCAAUACCUUUUUAAGAUCAAUAACUCACAAUUUAAGUUCUGAAGGGGAAAAGUUUUAAUUUCUAUGUGUAAGCUACUUCUGUAGCUCAUUACAAUCUAUUCUAUGUGUUAGUUUCCCACAAGUAUUUAUAUAGCAAAAACAUGCCUACAAUGUACUGAUGUGGCUGAGAUUUUGUAAACACAAAUAUCAGGAAAUUAAAAAAUAUGGUUCU
This is a long non-coding RNA of Dermochelys coriacea (leatherback sea turtle), 5566 nucleotides long. RefSeq lists it as uncharacterized. Lineage: Eukaryota; Metazoa; Chordata; Testudines; Dermochelyidae. The record is from RefSeq and is a predicted model, not a curated record. The transcript is spliced from 3 exons.